RNAcentral lists this ribosomal RNA (497 nucleotides) under uncultured bacterium. RNAcentral describes it as "partial 16S ribosomal RNA". It matches the Rfam family "Bacterial small subunit ribosomal RNA", at positions 28 to 507 of the family's 1533-position model. The record is from RNAcentral.
GAUGAACGCUGGCGGCGUGCCUAAUACAUGCAAGUCGAGCGAACAGACGAGGAGCUUGCUCCUCUGACGUUAGCGGCGGACGGGUGAGUAACACGUGUAUAACCUACCUAUAAGACUGGGAUAACUUCGGGAAACCGGCGCUAAUACCGGAUAAUAUAUUGAACCGUAUGGUUCAAUAGUGAAAGACGGUUUUGCUGUCACUUAUAGAUGGUUCCGCGCCGCAUUAGCUAGUUGGUAAGGUAACGGCUUAUCAAGGCAACGAUGCGUAGCCGACCUGAGAGGGUGAUCGGCCACCCUGGAACUGAGACACGGUCCAGACGACUACGGGAGGCAGCAGUAGGGAAUCUUACGCAAUGGGCGAGAGCCUGACGGAGCAGCGCGGCGUGAGUGAUGGAGGUCUUCGGAUCGUAAAACUCUGUUAUUAGGUAAGAACAAAUGUGUAAGUAACUAUGCACGGCUUGACGGUACCUAAUCAGAAAGCCACGGCUAACUACGUG